Molecule: transfer RNA, 62 nt
Filed under: Leocrates chinensis
Lineage: Eukaryota; Metazoa; Annelida; Polychaeta; Phyllodocida; Hesionidae
Description: tRNA-Leu
Source: RNAcentral
AUUAAGGUGGCAGAUUAGUGCACUAGAUUUAAGCUCUAAAUAUGAAUUUUAUUCCCUUAAUA